Molecule: ribosomal RNA, 517 nt
Filed under: Rhodomicrobium udaipurense
Lineage: Bacteria; Pseudomonadati; Pseudomonadota; Alphaproteobacteria; Hyphomicrobiales; Hyphomicrobiaceae
Description: bacterial SSU rRNA
Rfam family: Bacterial small subunit ribosomal RNA
Source: RNAcentral
CCUGAUCCAGCCAUGCCGCGUGAGUGAAGAAGGCCUUAGGGUUGUAAAGCUCUUUUGGCGGGGACGAUAAUGACGGUACCCGCAGAAUAAGCCCCGGCUAACUUCGUGCCAGCAGCCGCGGUAAUACGAAGGGGGCUAGCGUUGUUCGGAAUCACUGGGCGUAAAGCGUACGCAGGCGGAUUGAUAAGUCAGGGGUGAAAUCCCGGGGCUCAACCUCGGAAUUGCCUUUGAUACUGUCUGUCUUCGAGUUCGGGAGAGGUUGGCGGAAUUCCUAGUGUAGAGGUGAAAUUCGUAGAUAUUAGGAAGAACACCAGUGGCGAAGGCGGCCAACUGGCCCGAUACUGACGCUCAUGUACGAAAGCGUGGGGAGCAAACAGGAUUAGAUACCCUGGUAGUCCACGCUGUAAACUAUGGAUGCUAGCCGUUGGGGAGCUUGCUCUUCAGUGGCGCAGCUAACGUCUUAAGCAUCCCGCCUGGGGAGUACGGUCGCAAGAUUAAAACUCAAAGGAAUUGACGG